This 495-nucleotide ribosomal RNA is filed under the name uncultured bacterium. RNAcentral's name for it is "partial 16S ribosomal RNA". It matches the Rfam family "Bacterial small subunit ribosomal RNA", at positions 28 to 507 of the family's 1533-position model. The record is from RNAcentral.
GACGAACGCUGGCGGCGUGCCUAAUACAUGCAAGUAGAACGCUGAAGGAGGAGCUUGCUUCUCUGGAUGAGUUGCGAACGGGUGAGUAACGCGUAGGUAACCUUCCUGGUAGCGGGGGAUAACUAUUGGAAACGAUAGCUAAUACCGCAUAAUAGCAGUUGUUGCAUGACAACUGUUUGAAAGGUGCAAUUGCACCACUACCAGAUGGACCUGCGUUGUAUUAGCUAGUUGGUGGGGUAACGGCUCACCAAGGCGACGAUACAUAGCCGACCUGAGAGGGUGAUCGGCCACACUGGGACUGAGACACGGCCCAGACUCCUACGGGAGGCAGCAGUAGGGAAUCUUCGGCAAUGGACGGAAGUCUGACCGAGCAACGCCGCGUGAGUGAAGAAGGUUUUCGGAUCGUAAAGCUCUGUUGUAAGAGAAGAACGAGUGUGAGAGUGGAAAGUUCACACUGUGACGGUAUCUUACCAGAAAGGGACGGCUAACUACGUG